This 305-nucleotide ribosomal RNA is filed under the name uncultured bacterium. Its description in RNAcentral is "bacterial SSU rRNA". It matches the Rfam family "Bacterial small subunit ribosomal RNA", at positions 337 to 659 of the family's 1533-position model. The record is from RNAcentral.
UCCUACGGGGCGCAGCAGGGAAUAUUGGGCAAUGGGCGCAAGCCUGACCCAGCAACGCCGCGUGAAGGAAGAAGGCUUUCGGGUUGUAAACUUCUUUUCUCAGGGACGAAGAAAGUGACGGUACCUGAGGAAUAAGCCACGGCUAACUACGUGCCAGCAGCCGCGGUAAUACGUAGGUGGCAAGCGUUAUCCGGAUUUACUGGGUGUAAAGGGCGUGUAGGCGGGACUGCAAGUCAGAUGUGAAAACCAUGGGCUCAACCUGUGGCCUGCAUUUGAAACUGUAGUUCUUGAGUACUGGAGAGGCG